CCGUAUUGUGCUCAGAAUUGGAAAAGGAAUACAGAGACCUUUUCAUUGUGUAUACUUCCACCUACGGCAAAGGAUAGGUGUUUGUGAAAGCAGGCUUCUAAAAAUUUUUUAAAAAAAGUACUUAUCAUUCACCAGGAGUCUGCCAGCACCAGCAAAACCUAAGCCACCAACCACACUUCUCUUUGUGUGCCAAAUCCCGUUUAAUAAUUCAGUAGCCACUAUGCACCCGGCUGUGUUGCAAGCUUGAGAUGUGUUGGAGAAUAAAUCAUCUGCCCUGCUCUGGUGGCUAUGAUAUGCAGAGGGUUAAGGGUGGGCUGGAAGAAGGGAAGCCGCACACACCAAAGGCAGAUUGCUGGGAUGUUAGAAGAGAUCAGCGAUGAAGAAAAAGACAAAGGACAUGGACAGCUGGAGCCUGGAGCCCUAGUGUCUGACCCAGGUUAUAGAAUGAAACAGGGUAUGAUGCUCUAGAAGCUGUCUCUGUAGGAUACAAUGAAGCAGCUGGUCAGAACAAGAAGAAAAUAAACUCAAUUCCAAAGUCAAGAGAGAAGAGCUUUGGGCAUUCAUAAAGGCAAUGAUAGUG
This 580-nucleotide long non-coding RNA is filed under the name Cricetulus griseus (Chinese hamster). RNAcentral's name for it is "lncRNA (ENSCGRG00015042359.1)". Lineage: Eukaryota; Metazoa; Chordata; Mammalia; Rodentia; Cricetidae. The record is from RNAcentral.